Molecule: ribosomal RNA, 445 nt
Filed under: uncultured bacterium
Lineage: Bacteria
Description: SSU rRNA
Rfam family: Bacterial small subunit ribosomal RNA
Source: RNAcentral
AGAGCGAACGCUGGCGGCAGGCCUAACACAUGCAAGUCGAGCGCCGUAGCAAUACGGAGCGGCAGACGGGAGAGUAACACGUGGGAACGUGCCCUUUGGUUCGGAACAACACAGGGAAACUUGUGCUAAUACCGGAUAAGCCCUUACGGGGAAAGAUUUAUCGCCAAAGGAUCGGCCCGCGUCUGAUUAGCUAGUUGGUGAGGUAACGGCUCACCAAGGCGACGAUCAGUAGCUGGUCUGAGAGGAUGAUCAGCCUCACUGGGACUGAGACACGGCCCAGACUCCUACGGGAGGCAGCAGUGGGGAAUAUUGGACAAUGGGCGCAAGCCUGAUCCAGCCAUGCCGCGUGGAUGAUGAAGGCCCUAGGGUUGUAAAGUCCUUUCGGCGGGGAAGAUAAUGACGGUACCCGCAGAAGAAGCCCGGCUAACUUCGCGCCAGCAGCCGC